Molecule: long non-coding RNA, 787 nt
Filed under: Setaria italica (foxtail millet)
Lineage: Eukaryota; Viridiplantae; Streptophyta; Magnoliopsida; Poales; Poaceae
Description: long non-coding RNA (SITA_LNC002461)
Source: RNAcentral
CGCGGGCUACCAUUGAAAUGACUCGAGCUGGGCUGGUCAGUGACAAACGUGCCACGCCCCGCAGCACAAUAAUAUUUAAAUAGUUUAUCAGGUACUUGCAGAGGCUUCAUCAAUCACAUACCCAAGAUUGUAUAUGUAUGAAACAACAAAUAGACACUCUUUCAGUAGGGAUUCUAUGAGUAGGAUUAUUACUUAGACUGCCGAUAAGUAAAUUUCUAACAGCAUGGAGUUGAGAUGAGCAUCCCAAAUAUACUAAAAUACAUUUCCAUGUAGAUAGUUCCCAAGUUUGCAUAUGAAUUACCAUGCAGAUUGUUAAUUUUUGCAGCAUAUAUGCAAGAUGACUUGCGAAGAAAUAAUGCCUACAUGUGGACGUCUCAAUGUUUAAUGCAUGGCUAUUUUCAUAAUGAUACAAGGAGUAUGUAGAAAAUUGUGAGUUUGCAAACCACAUUAUCCCCUUUCUCUUUGCAUAUGCUGUUAUUUAGAGUGCACGCUGUUCUUUUAUUGUAGCAGAGACUGAGAUUAACAUCACCCACUUGUAAGUUUAAAGCCUGAAAAUGGUCAUUGCAAAAGACAUGCAGCUCUGACAUGAUGCAAGUCUCUCAUGUAAAGGUAUUUUUACAAUGGUAAAUAGGAGCAUGCACCAAAAUAAUUUUGCGACCUUUCAAAGUGCAUAAGCAUAACAAAUAAAACCAUCAUGUUUCAUGAAAAACAUUACCGUGUUUCGCUUCACAGGUACAGAUUCACAAUUGCUAAUCUGACGCCUAUAGACAUAAUUGCGCAAGGGCUC